GCUGGCAUAGCUCAGCAGGUAGAGCAGCUCACUCGUAAUGAGCAGGUCGGCGGUUCGAAUCCGUCUGCCAGCU
This 73-nucleotide transfer RNA is filed under the name bacterium. RNAcentral describes it as "tRNA-Thr". It matches the Rfam family "tRNA". From Rfam's summary of the family: Transfer RNA (tRNA) molecules are approximately 80 nucleotides in length. Their secondary structure includes four short double-helical elements and three loops (D, anti-codon, and T loops). RNAcentral also lists the same sequence under 1 other name. The record is from RNAcentral.